UACGAAGGGGGGCUAGCGUUGCUCGGAAUCACUGGGCGUAAAGGGUGCGUAGGCGGGUCUUUUAAGUCAGGGGUGAAAUCCUGGAGCUCAACUCCAGAACUGCCUUUGAUACUGAGGAUCUUGAGUUCGGGAGAGGUGAGUGGAACUGCGAGUGUAGAGGUGAAAUUCGUAGAUAUUCGCAAGAACACCAGUGGCGAAGGCGGCUCACUGGCCCGAUACUGACGCUGGAGGCACGAAAGCGUGGGGAGCAAACAGGGA
RNAcentral lists this ribosomal RNA (258 nucleotides) under uncultured bacterium. RNAcentral's name for it is "partial 16S ribosomal RNA". It matches the Rfam family "Bacterial small subunit ribosomal RNA", at positions 524 to 778 of the family's 1533-position model. The record is from RNAcentral.